RNAcentral lists this ribosomal RNA (253 nucleotides) under uncultured bacterium. RNAcentral's name for it is "partial 16S ribosomal RNA". It matches the Rfam family "Bacterial small subunit ribosomal RNA", at positions 524 to 776 of the family's 1533-position model. The record is from RNAcentral.
UACGUAGGUGGCAAGCGUUGUCCGGAUUUACUGGGUGUAAAGGGCGUGCAGCCGGGCUGACAAGUCAGAUGUGAAAUCCCGCGGCUCAACCGCGGAACUGCAUUUGAAACUGUCAGUCUUGAGUACCGGAGAGGCCAUCGGAAUUCCUUGUGUAGCGGUGAAAUGCGUAGAUAUAAGGAAGAACACCAGUGGCGAAGGCGGAUGACUGGACGGCAACUGACGGUGAGGCGCGAAAGCGUGGGGAGCAAACAGG